GACGAACGCUGGCGGCGUGCCUAAUACAUGCAAGUAGAACGCUGAAGAGAGGAGCUUGCUCUUCUUGGAUGAGUUGCGAACGGGUGAGUAACGCGUAGGUAACCUGCCUGGUAGCGGGGGAUAACUAUUGGAAAUGAUAGCUAAUACCGCAUGAUAUUGAAUAUCGCAUGAUAAUUAAUUGAAAGAUGCAAUUGCAUCACUACCAGAUGGACCUGCGUUGUAUUAGCUAGUUGGUGAGGUAACGGCUCACCAAGGCGACGAUACAUAGCCGACCUGAGAGGGUGAUCGGCCACACUGGGACUGAGACACGGCCCAGACUCCUACGGGAGGCAGCAGUAGGGAAUCUUCGGCAAUGGGGGGAACCCUGACCGAGCAACGCCGCGUGAGUGAAGAAGGUUUUCGGAUCGUAAAGCUCUGUUGUAAGAGAAGAACGGGUGUGAGAGUGGAAAGUUCACACUGUGACGG
Molecule: ribosomal RNA, 465 nt
Filed under: Streptococcus sanguinis
Lineage: Bacteria; Bacillati; Bacillota; Bacilli; Lactobacillales; Streptococcaceae
Description: bacterial SSU rRNA
Rfam family: Bacterial small subunit ribosomal RNA
Source: RNAcentral